UGGGGAAUAUUGCACAAUGGGCGCAAGCCUGAUGCAGCCAUGCCGCGUGUGUGAAGAAGGCCUUCGGGUUGUAAGGCACUUUCAGCGAGGAGGAAGGUGGUGAACUUAAUACGUUCAUCAAUUGACGUUACUCGCAGAAGAAGCACCGGCUAACUCCGUGCCAGCAGCCGCGGUAAUACGGAGGGUGCAAGCGUUAAUCGGAAUUACUGGGCGUAAAGCGCACGCAGGCGGUUUGUCAAGUCAGAUGUGAAAUCCCCGGGCUCAACCUGGGAACUGCAUUUGAAACUGGCAAGCUAGAGUCUCGUAGAGGGGGGUAGAAUUCCAGGUGUAGCGGUGAAAUGCGUAGAGAUCUGGAGGAAUACCGGUGGCGAAGGCGGCCCCCUGGACGAAGACUGACGCUCAGGUGCGAAAAGCGUGGGGGAGCAAACAGGAUUAGAUACCCUGGUAGUCCACGCUGUAAACGAUGUCGAUUUGGAGGUUGUGCCCUUGAGGCGUGGCUUCCGGAGCUAACGCGUUAAAUCGACCGCCUGGGGAGUACGGCCGCAAGGUUAAAACUUAAAUGAAUUG
RNAcentral lists this ribosomal RNA (567 nucleotides) under uncultured bacterium. Its description in RNAcentral is "partial 16S ribosomal RNA". It matches the Rfam family "Bacterial small subunit ribosomal RNA", at positions 355 to 912 of the family's 1533-position model. The record is from RNAcentral.